This 1242-nucleotide ribosomal RNA is filed under the name metagenome. Its description in RNAcentral is "SSU rRNA". It matches the Rfam family "Eukaryotic small subunit ribosomal RNA", at positions 528 to 1789 of the family's 1831-position model. The record is from RNAcentral.
AAUCCUUUAACGAGGAUCUAUUGGAGGGCAAGUCUGGUGCCAGCAGCCGCGGUAAUUCCAGCUCCAAUAGCGUAUAUUAAAGUUGUUGUGGUUAAAAAGCUCGUAGUUGGAUCUCAGUUUGAGUCAGGCGGUCCACUUGCCAGUGGCUACUGCCUGACUGAACACUUUACCGAGUUGUCCUAUGGUGUUCUUCACCGAGCGUCAUAGGCGAUCGGUACGUUUACUUUGAAAAAAUUAGAGUGCUCAAAGCAGGCGUAACGCCCGAAUAAUGUUGCAUGGAAUAAUGGAAUAGGACCUCGGUUCUAUUUUGUUGGUCUUCGGAAUCAGAGGUAAUGAUCAAUAGGGACAGACGGGGACAUUCGUAUUGCGGCGCUAGAGGUGAAAUUCUUGGACCGUCGCAAGACGAACUAAAGCGAAAGCAUUUGUCAAGAAUGUUUUCAUUAAUCAAGAACGAAAGUUAGAGGUUCGAAGGCGAUCAGAUACCGCCCUAGCUCUAACCAUAAACGAUGCCAACCAGUAAUUCGUCUGAGUUCCUUAAAUGACUCGACGAGGGACUUCCGGGAAACCAAAGUCUUUCGGUUCCAGGGGAAGUAUGGUUGCAAAGCUGAAACUUAAAGAAAUUGACGGAAGGGCACCACCAGGAGUGGAGCCUGCGGCUUAAUUUGACCCAACACGGGAAAACUCACCCGGCCCGGACACUGGAAGGAUUGACAGAUUGAGAGCUCUUUCUUGAUUCAGUGGGUGGUGGUGCAUGGCCGUUCUUAGUUGGUGGAGUGAUUUGUCUGGUUAAUUCCGAUAACGAACGAGACUCUAGCCUACUAAAUAGAUCGUCGGCUUACAAACGCCGGCGAGACUUCUUAGAGGGACAGGCGGUGAUUCAACCGCACGAAACAGAGCAAUAACAGGUCUGUGAUGCCCUUAGAUGUCCGGGGCCGCACGCGCGCUACACUGAAGUGAUCAGCGUGCUUUUUCAACCUACUCUGUCAAGAGUGGGGAACCCAAUGAACCUUCUUCGUGAUUGGGAUAGGGGAUUGUAAUUAUUCCCCUUGAACGAGGAAUUCCCAGUAAGCGCGAGUCAUAAGCUCGCGUUGAUUACGUCCCUGCCCUUUGUACACACCGCCCGUCGCUACUACCGAUUGAAUGUUUUAGUGAGGUCUUCGGACUGGCCGGCGCAGCACUCUCGUAGUGCAGCGCUGUGUUUGGAAAGAUGCCCAAACUUGAACAUUUAGAGGAAGUAAAAGU